This 65-nucleotide transfer RNA is filed under the name bovine gut metagenome. It matches the Rfam family "tRNA", at positions 5 to 66 of the family's 71-position model. From Rfam's summary of the family: Transfer RNA (tRNA) molecules are approximately 80 nucleotides in length. Their secondary structure includes four short double-helical elements and three loops (D, anti-codon, and T loops). Further hydrogen bonds mediate the characteristic L-shaped molecular structure. tRNAs have two regions of fundamental functional importance: the anti-codon, which is responsible for specific mRNA codon recognition, and the 3' end, to which the tRNAs corresponding amino acid is attached (by aminoacyl-tRNA synthetases). tRNAs cope with the degeneracy of the genetic code in two manners: having more than one tRNA (with a specific anti-codon) for a particular amino acid; and 'wobble' base-pairing, i.e. permitting non-standard base-pairing at the 3rd anti-codon position. The record is from RNAcentral.
CGCGUAGCUCAGUUGGUAGAGCAGCGGACUCUUAAUCCGUCGGUCCAGGGUUCGAGCCCCUGCGC